Molecule: small nucleolar RNA, 144 nt
Filed under: Gossypium hirsutum (cotton)
Lineage: Eukaryota; Viridiplantae; Streptophyta; Magnoliopsida; Malvales; Malvaceae
Description: Plant small nucleolar RNA R71
Rfam family: Plant small nucleolar RNA R71
About the family: R71 is a member of the C/D box family of snoRNAs containing the C (UGAUGA) and D (CUGA) box motifs.
Source: Rfam by way of RNAcentral
AUGUCAUGAUAAGGGCACUUUCGUAAUAACUCCUUGAACCUCUCCUAUGCCUCAUAUAAAGAUUCUUCAUCAAGUCCGCUCUGAUGCCUCAUAUAAAGAUUCUUCAUCAAGUUGCUGAAAUGACGUGACUUCAUUUCAAAUCUU